GAGUUUGAUCGUGGCUCAGAUUGAACGCUGGCGGCAGGCCUAACACAUGCAAGUCGAGCGGUAGAGAGAAGCUUGCUUCUCUUGAGAGCGGCGGACGGGUGAUAAUGCCUAGGAAUCUGCCUGGUAGUGGGGGAUAACGCUCGGAAACGGACGCUAAUACCGCAUACGUCCUACGGGAGAAAGCAGGGGACCUUCGGGCCUUGCGCUAUCAGAUGAGCCUAGGUCGGAUUAGCUAGUUGGUGAGGUAAUGGCUCACCAAGGCGACGAUCCGUAACUGGUACUGAGAGGAUGAUCAGUCACACUGGAACUGAGACACGGUCCAGACUCCUACGGGAGGCAGCAGUGGGGAAUAUUGGACAAUGGGCGAAAGCCUGAUCCAGCCAUGCCGCGUGUGUGAAGAAGGUCUUCGGAUUGUAAAGCACUUUAAGUUGGGAGGAAGGGCAGUAAAUUAAUACUUUGCUGUUUUGACGUUACCGACAGAAUAAGCACCGGCUAACUCUGUGCCAGC
This 508-nucleotide ribosomal RNA is filed under the name uncultured bacterium. RNAcentral describes it as "bacterial SSU rRNA". It matches the Rfam family "Bacterial small subunit ribosomal RNA", at positions 9 to 512 of the family's 1533-position model. The record is from RNAcentral.